This 256-nucleotide ribosomal RNA is filed under the name uncultured archaeon. RNAcentral describes it as "partial 16S ribosomal RNA". It matches the Rfam family "Archaeal small subunit ribosomal RNA", at positions 748 to 1004 of the family's 1478-position model. The record is from RNAcentral.
UAGCCGUAAACGAUACUCGCUAGGUGUCGGCCACGGUGCGACCGUUGUCGGUGCCGUAGGGAAGCCGUGAAGCGAGCCACCUGGGAAGUACGGCCGCAAGGCUGAAACUUAAAGGAAUUGGCGGGGGAGCACAACAACGGGUGGAGCUUGCGGUUUAAUUGGACUCAACGCCGGGAAGCUCACCGGAUAAGACAGCGGAAUGAUUGCCGGGCUGAAGACCCUGCAUGACCAGCUGAGAGGAGGUGCAUGGCGUAGU